GUUUCUUUUGUUCUUCACAUAUCCGGUGUUUCAUUCUUCAGUUUGUGCUUCUCUGGGAAUUUUCAGAAAUCUCCGACCAAAAAUCAAGUUCCAGUUAUCCCUUGGAUUUUGAAAGAAGUACUUGAGUCAUUGAAGAAAGGUUCUCCUCUGAACUGAUGUUGUAGCUUCUGAAUUCUAUAAAGACAAUAUCAUUUUCAAUUAUAGUGGAGGUUGAGGACACGGACGAACAUGGUGGUAAUUCACAGGAUGCUUGGGAGGAUGUAGGUCUAGAUGAACUUUCAUUCUAGCAUUGGGGGGAAGUAGUUGAAACUGAAAGCAGAGGUCAUCCAUCUGAUACUAAUACCAGUUUGCCUUCAGUCAAGUACAAAACUGGGAAAGAUCAACAUGGAAGAAUUGAAUCAUGUGUUAUUUACCGGGUGGACUAUGACAGUGUACUGAGGUAUCUGCUCCAGAGAGCACCUUAUAUGAGAAUUCUAUAGUUCAUCCAUUUCCUUCGCUUCAAAUUGAAGAAAAAUUGUGCAAGUUGGGAGCUAUACCCUUAUUGUAGUAGCAUUGCUUUGUCGGUGUGAUAAUCAUUGUGCUUCACUGUAUCAAGCUCCUACGUUUUAAAUGUAACUUUAACUUUUGGAUUCAUCUCUAAGGUUAUUUCUUUUUAUUUUUUAAAUGGAAUGACUGGCAUUAGUGGCCAGUUUUUAGC
Molecule: long non-coding RNA, 697 nt
Organism: Lotus japonicus
Lineage: Eukaryota; Viridiplantae; Streptophyta; Magnoliopsida; Fabales; Fabaceae
Exons: 4
Source: RefSeq, a predicted model, not a curated record